UUGAAACAUUGGUUCCCGUGCGAUCAUCGAAGUUAAGCAAUGGUGAGCCUAGUCAGUACCUAGAUGGGUGACCGCUUGGGAAUACCAGGUGCUGUAAG
Non-coding RNA from Acanthosepion pharaonis, 98 nucleotides. The record is from the annotation of a GenBank genome assembly. NCBI's taxonomy places the organism in Eukaryota, Metazoa, Mollusca, Cephalopoda, Sepiida, Sepiidae.